GAGAAAUACAGUACGGGGCCACUAUGUAUGAGGCGUUAUUCUGGUGUGUGUUAUAGUGUGGGGUCAUUAUAUAUGAGGGGUUAUUCUGGUGUGUGUUAUAGUGUGGGGUCAUUAUAUAUGAGGGGUUAUUCUGGUGUGGGUUAUAGUGUGGGGUCAUUAUAUAUGAGGGGUUAUUCUGGUGUGAGUUAUAGUGUGGGGUCAUUAUAUAUGAGGGUUAUUCUGGUGUGUGUUAUAGUGUGGGGUCAUUAUAUAUGAGGGGUUAUUCUGGUGUGUGUUAUAGUGUGGGGUCAUUAUAUAUGAGGGGUUAUUCUGGUGUGUGUUAUAGUGUGGGGUCAUUAUAUAUGAGGGUUAUUCUGGUGUGGGGUCAUUAUAUAUGAGGGGUUAUUCUGGUGUGUGUUAUAGUGUGGGGUCAUUAUAUAUGAGGGUUAUUCUGGUGUGUGUUAUAGUGUGGGGUCAUUAUAUAUGAGGGGUUAUUCUGGUGUGUGUUAUAGUGUGGGGUCAUUAUAUAUGAGGGGUUAUUCUGGGGUGUGUUAUAGUGUGGGGUCAUUUUAUAUGAGGGUUAUUCUGGGGUGUGUUAUAGUGUGGGGUCAUUAUAUAUGAGGGGUUAUUCUGGUGUGUGUUAUAGUGUGGGGUCAUUAUAUAUGAGGGGUUAUUCUGGUGUGUGUUAUAGUGUGGGGUCAUUAUAUAUGAGGGUUAUUCUGGGGUGUGUUAUAGUGUGGGGUCAUUAUAUAUGAGGGGUUAUUCUGGUGUGUGUUAUAGUGUGGGGUCAUUAUAUAUGAGUGUUAUUCUGGUGUGUGUUAUAGUGUGGGGUCAUUAUAUAUGAGGGUUAUUCUGGUGUGUGUUAUAGUGUGGGGUCAUUAUAUAUGAGGGGUUAUUCUGGUGUGGGGUCAUUAUAUAUGAGGGUUAUUCUGGUGUGGGGUCAUUAUAUAUGAGGGGUUAUUCUGGUGUGUGUUAUAGUGUGGGGUCAUUAUAUAUGAGGGUUAUUCUGGUGUGAGUUAUAGUGUGGGGUCAUUAUAUAUGAGGGGUUA
This is a long non-coding RNA of Oncorhynchus tshawytscha (Chinook salmon), 1028 nucleotides long. RefSeq lists it as uncharacterized. Lineage: Eukaryota; Metazoa; Chordata; Actinopteri; Salmoniformes; Salmonidae. The transcript has 5 exons. The record is from RefSeq and is a predicted model, not a curated record.